AGAGCUCUACAAGAGAACGGAUAGAAAAAAUGAAAGAUUUUUCCAUCCCUUCCUGUAGACUGUCACAAUCUAAUGAAAAUUAGGCUUCAGAAUGCACAAAAUCUGAUACCCAUCAGCAUAAAUUUCUGAGCUUCGAGUUUAAAAGGAGAUGGCUAUUAAUCGGAGAAAAUGGGGCAUAUAUUCUCUGCUUCAGAUAAGAAAUGCUCCAUCGUGCAAAAGCAGAUUCAAAGGAUGAUAUAUAAUUGAAGGAAUCUCAUUCACUCGCUUGCUAUAAAUCAUCUAUGGUGGCUUUAACAAGUGGCAAGAAUCAACAGAAGUCGAGAAAGCUUAAUAGAAAAAUACCCCAUUUGCCUCAAUCGCCAUGGCAUCUCUGCAAAUCCAAAAACCUGAAGAGGAAAAUGGACCCAAAGAACAACACCAGGUGCAGCACCAUGAAUCAAAUGACACAGUUUGCCAUGCAAAGAAUGAAAUAAAAGUGAAAGACAAGAAGGAAAAUAAGGAGAAGAAAGAGAAGAAAGAGAAGAAAGAGAAAAAAGAGAAGAAAGAGAAGGAAAAGAAAGAAAAGAAUGGAAAGAACGACGGUAAGAAGAAAGAGAAGGAUGGGCACAAGAAGAAGAAGAACAGCAGCUGUAAUAAUAAUGACUGAACUGAAGAAUUGCUGAGGAAACAAGGAUCUAAUCAGCUCUUUUGUUUCUUCAACAUUUACAAGAUUGUCAAAAUAGAGUGCCUGGAAAAAUAAUCUACAAAUAAAUGAAGAAUAGAGAAACAAAUGGAAAAAAAUUAUCUUGAUACACAAAUAAGAGUGACUUAAUGUUGGCUUGCAGUGUCCUAUACGUGACAUGAUGUUCUGUAAUGUGUUUCAUGAAUAGUAAAGACUGUUUACGUAUAUAUAAAACACUAAUCCUUGAUGGGUUUUUAUACAA
Molecule: long non-coding RNA, 923 nt
Organism: Jatropha curcas
Lineage: Eukaryota; Viridiplantae; Streptophyta; Magnoliopsida; Malpighiales; Euphorbiaceae
Source: RefSeq, a predicted model, not a curated record